Molecule: ribosomal RNA, 472 nt
Filed under: uncultured bacterium
Lineage: Bacteria
Description: SSU rRNA
Rfam family: Bacterial small subunit ribosomal RNA
Source: RNAcentral
AGGAUAAACGCUGGCGGCGUGCCUAACACAUGCAAGUCGAACGCGCUUUCGGGCUUCGGUGCGAGAGCGAGUGGCGGACGGGUGAGUAACACAUGGGUACCUACCUUGGAGUGAGGGAUACCGGCGAGAAAUCGCCGACAAUACCGCAUAGGCUUCUUCACAAGGGAAGCAAAGUGACGCGAGUCACGCUGUGAGAUGGGCCUGUGGCCGAUUAGCUAGUUGGGGGGGUAACGGCUUCCCAAGGCGACGAUCGGUAGCUGGUCUGAGAGGACGAUCAGCCACACUGGGAUUGAGAACGGCCCAGACUCCUACGGGGGGCAGCAGUGAGGAAUUUUCCGCAAUGGAGGCAACUCUGACGGAGCAACGCCGCGUGCAGGAGGAAGGUUUUCGGAUCGUAAACUGCUUUUCGUCGGGGACGAGCAAGGACGGUACCCGAGGAAGAAGCCCCGGCUAACUACGUGCCAGCAGCCGC